Molecule: ribosomal RNA, 1519 nt
Filed under: human gut metagenome
Description: bacterial LSU rRNA
Rfam family: Bacterial large subunit ribosomal RNA
Source: RNAcentral
AGCGGGGCCCAUCCCGUAAGGCUAAAUACUCCCGAGAGACCGAUAGCGAACCAGUACUGUGAAGGAAAGGUGAAAAGAACCUCGAACAGAGGAGUGAAAAAGACCCUGAAACCAUACGCCUACAAGCGGUCGGAGCCCCUACGUGGGGUGACGGCGUGCCUUUUGCAUAAUGAACCUACGAGUUACUUUUGCCAGCCAGGUUAAUCGAUUCAGUCGAGGAGCCGAAGCGAAAGCGAGUCUUAAUAGGGCGGUAUAAGUUGGCAGGAGUAGACGCGAAACCAAGUGAUCUACCCAUGAGCAGGUUGAAGGUUAGGUAACACUAACUGGAGGACCGCACCGGUAAACGUUGAAAAGUUUUCGGAUGACUUGUGGGUAGGGGUGAAAGGCUAAUCAAACUUGGAGAUAGCUCGUACUCCCCGAAAUGCAUUUAGGUGCAGCCUUCUGAAUAUAUUUAAGAGGUAGAGCGACUGAUAAGAUGCGAGGGCUUCACCGCCUAUCAAGUCUUGAUAAACUCCGAAUGCUUAAAUAUGAAUCAGAGGAGUGAGGGCAUGGGUGCUAAGGUCCAUGUCCGAGAGGGAAAUAACCCAGACCACCGGCUAAGGUCCCGAAAUAACGGCUAAGUUGAAUUAACGAAGUAGAAUUGCAAAGACAGCUAGGAUGUUGGCUUGGAAGCAGCCAUUCAUUUAAAGAGUGCGUAACAGCUCACUAGUCGAGGAGUUUUGCAUGGAUAAUAAUCGGGCAUAAGCCCUUUACCGAAGCUGUGGAUGUCGCAAGACAUGGUAGGGGAGCAUUCCGGCGGCGACGAAGGCCGUCCUCGAGGACGACUGGAGCUUUCGGAAAAGCAAAUGUAGGUAUAAGUAACGAUAAAGGGGGCGCGAAACCCCCUCGCCAUAAGACUAAGGAUUCCUGAUCAACGCUAAUCGGAUCAGGGUAAGUCGGGCCCUAAGGCGCAGCCGAACGGCGUAGCCGAUGGAAGAAACGGUAAAGAUUCCGUUACUGGAUAUAGGAGCGAUGUGGAGACGGAGAAGUGACACACCCGCCUGCCGACGGAAGCGCAGGUUAAAGGAAGUAGGUAAACGCCGGGUAGGCAAAUCCGCCUGGCGUGCCGAAACUGACAGUAUCGAGAGCCCCCGGGCAAUCGAAUAGCGGUGGUAAUCAGGCUCCCAAGAAAAUCCGCUAAGCAUAUUCUAUAUUCACCCGUACCCCAAACGGACACACGUAGUCGGGUAGAAUAUACCAAGGCGCUCGAAAGACUCACGGUUAAGGAACUAGGCAAAUUGACCCUGUAACCUCGGGAAAAAGGGUCCCCAGUAAGAUGGGGCGCAGAGAAUAGGUCCAGGCAACUGUUUAACAAAAACACAGGGCUGUGCAAAAUUUAGAGAUGAAGUAUACAGCCUGACACCUGCCCGGUGCCGGAAGGUUAAGAGGAGAGCUUAUCGCAAGAGAAGGCUUGAAUUGAAGCCCCGGUAAACGGCGGCCGUAACUAUAACGGUCCUAAGGUAGCGAAAUUCCUUGUCGG